This 305-nucleotide ribosomal RNA is filed under the name uncultured bacterium. Its description in RNAcentral is "bacterial SSU rRNA". It matches the Rfam family "Bacterial small subunit ribosomal RNA", at positions 333 to 652 of the family's 1533-position model. The record is from RNAcentral.
UCGACCCUACGGGGCGCAGCAGUGGGGAAUAUUGGGCAAUGGGCGCAAGCCUGACCCAGCAACGCCGCGUGAAGGAUGAAGGUUUUCGGAUUGUAAACUUCUUUUGUACGGGACGAAGAAAGUGACGGUACCGUAAGAAUAAGCCACGGCUAACUACGUGCCAGCAGCCGCGGUAAUACGUAGGUGGCAAGCGUUAUCCGGAUUUACUGGGUGUAAAGGGCGAGUAGGCGGGAUUGCAAGUCAGAUGUGAAAACUAUGGGCUCAACCGAUAGAGUGCAUUUGAAACUGCAGUUCUUGAGUGAUGG